This 961-nucleotide long non-coding RNA is filed under the name Lepisosteus oculatus (spotted gar). Its description in RNAcentral is "lncRNA (ENSLOCG00000021862.1)". The record is from RNAcentral. Lineage: Eukaryota; Metazoa; Chordata; Actinopteri; Semionotiformes; Lepisosteidae.
AUAAGCUGUGUCUUAUUACAUUAUUUUAAAAACUUUAAGACCAACCCCGCGUGUUUAAAAUUUAUUUUCUGGGCAAACACAUCAUUUGUGUUUGUGUUGUGUGUUAAUACUUUUAAAGUUUAAAACUGAUAAGUAAAUACUUUUCGCUCUCGAUAAAACAAUGGAGGGGCGGGGGGUCGUUCUAAAGCAGCACAACCAAUUGAAAAAUGUCUUGUGUUAUGUAGGUGUGGUUACACCAUUGGUGCAUAUUCUUAAAUGCUCCGGCCUGACAGAGUCGCAGCGCAUCCCUGGAGCUGUCAGACACCGCCCGUUGUUGGGAGCUGCGAAGAUGGCUUCUUUGUGUGGAGAAACAUCGGGGUCCGCUACUCUACAAAGUGAAGAGACCCGGGUGUGCCAUCGUCCGAAGAAUGAAGAAUUUCGAAUGUAUACGUCUGAAUUCUUACUAAGAGUGCUUUACACACUUCUCUCUACAAAGCUUGAUAUGCAAAACAAAGAGUCGAAUGCUAAUGUCCUUAAAUUUGUUAAAGAGAUAGAUGCGUAUGUCAAGAACUUGAGUGAAAUUAUUGCAGAUCUGAUGUUUUCAGAUCAGAAACGGAAGCCUGGGGGGUUGGGGAAGCCUACAGUGUGUAUUCCAAAAUACAGUGUGUUUUGCACAGAACCUGUGGUAACACCAUCCCGCUGAUUACGCAGGCAAAUGUUUUUGCUCUGCUAGAUCGGAUCACCCAGUGUGGUUCGCAUGGCUUUAGACAUAGGGAGCGGAAGGGGGUUAUGAAUGCUUUUUCAGAUGCCUCAAAGUUUCUCAGCAAUUUUGGGGUGGUGGUUACGCGUACCGAACUAAUUUUCCGCACCAACAUUUAAUUGUUGAAUGCAAACAGGAGCCGGUAACGCGUGUGUACUGCAAUGUUUCAGCGUUUGAAAACCCACUGUUGAAAUAAAGCGGUUCACAUUUCACAUACUUGCA